This is a long non-coding RNA of Brassica napus (rape), 1386 nucleotides long. RefSeq lists it as uncharacterized. The record is from RefSeq and is a predicted model, not a curated record. The transcript has 2 exons. NCBI's taxonomy places the organism in Eukaryota, Viridiplantae, Streptophyta, Magnoliopsida, Brassicales, Brassicaceae.
AGAAAAGUGCUAUUUUGGUCAUUUUAGUUUUUGAGUGCUAUUUUUGUGAUAUAAACUUAGAAAAAUGCUAUUUUGGAGAUUUGCCCUUUUAAUUACCAGAUCUAUAUAUUUUUUGUUUGGUAAUUGAAUUUCUGAUUGAGACACAACAUGAAUCUUUGCCAUAAGCCUAUAAAUGGUGUCUUUUGUUCAAUCACUUUCUUGAAAUUUGAUCAGUUAUAGUAAUAAAUAACAUUAAAGACGUCCACAUCCAAACAGAUCAAAGAUUUGAAAAUCAUGAUGAAACCAUUAAAAAAAAUAUUACAGAAAACUGGUUUUUAACAGUCUGCGAGAACGUUUUGUUUUACAUUAUAGAUGAAUCGAAGAUGGACCAGAAACAGCGACCGCUUUCUCGGUAAACCUCUGUCUUCAUCUUCCUUGUUUCGCUUCUCGAUUCCAUGAGGCAUGAGUCUUCCUCUUGAUCGGUUCAGCUUUCGGAAUAGCCGGUUUGAACUUGGUUUGUUCAGCUUUCUUACCUGGAAGAAACUCUACAGGAAGCUUCUCCAUACCUUGGAAGGAGGGUCAAAGUCAUGUCGGAUCUAGAGUUGGAGCAAUUGAGGAAGUCUUUUCCAAAGUUUUGAAACUGGUAAAGAGCAAAGCUUUUUUAAAUUGGGUCAUGAUGUGUUGUAAGUGAAGUUUCAGCUAAUACCUAUAUAAACAGGUAACACAUAUUUUAAAUGAUACACCAAUUAUUAACAACUUACAAUAACGAUUGUUACAUGCUAAAUGUAUUGUUUUACUCCAUAACUUAAAUUUUAGUAACUAACUUAUCUGUUAAUACAUCAAUUAUUAUAUGUUUCAACUACUACCUAUGUUAACAGCUAAUACAUAUUUUAGAUGAUAAAUCAAUUAUUAACAACUUACAAUGACGAUUGUUACAUGCUACAUGUAUUUUUUUAUUUGUUAACUUAAUUUUUAGCAACGAACUUAUAUGUUACAUGUAAAAUUAUAUUAUAUAUCUGUUACUAAUUACUAAUACUGAAUUUUAAAGAAUGUAUCACCUAACUUGGUAAUCAAAUAAGUAUCUUAACAGAUACUAUAGUGUUAAUUUUUUUACUUAUAUCAUAUUUCUAUAAAUAUAUGGUUGUAUAUCAUACCAGAAAAUAGUAAUACAUGAUUUCUAACUAUGAAUCAAAGUCAUAUGAGAGUUACUAACCUUUAUCAUCAAUAGAAUUACUAUCAUGAAAUUCGUCGGUUUUAUCAAGAUUUGGUGUUAAAUCACUUUUGGUUUUCGUUGGAAUAUCAAAAAAUUGGCAUCCAAAAUUUUAUGUAUCUUGAUUGAAAAAUGAUAAAUCAACAAAUAUAUUCAAGGAAGAAAAAGAAAUGAAGAAAAAUGAACGAGGAGAAUCA